UAAAAUAAUUAAGGGCACACAAAGGAUGCCUAGGUAGUAAGAGCCGAUGAAGGACGUGGUAAGCUGCGAUAAGCCUAGAUAAGUUGCAAUCGAACGUAAGAGUCUAGGAUUUCCGAAUGGAGCAAUCUAUUAAGAUGGAGUCUUAAUACGAAAGAGGGAACCGCGUGAACUGAAACAUCUAAGUAACGCGAGGAAAAGAAAGUAAAAACGAUACCCAAAGUAGCGGCGAGCGAAAUGGGUCAAGCCUAAACCUUAAAUAUGUCAAGGAUACAGCCGUUGUAUUUAAGGGGUUGAGGGACAGAGUGGUGAAGAACUGUAAGAUAUUCAAUAUAGUGUAUUGAUGAAUUAGAAUAGUCUGGAAAGGCUAACCGUAGAAGGUGAAAGUCCUGUAUAAGUAAAUCCUUACACAUAUAACUUUGCUCCCAAGUAACAUGGAACACGAGGAAUUCUGUGUGAAUCUGUGAGGACCAUAUCUCAUAAGGCUAAAUACUCUUACUAACCGAUAGCGCAUAGUACCGUGAGGGAAAGGUGAAAAGAACCCCUGGAGGGGAGUGAAAUAGAACCUGAAAUUGUGUGCUUACAAGCGGUCAGAGCCCAUUUGGGUGAUGGCGUGCCUUUUGGAGAAUGAUCCUGCGAGUUACGUUAAACGGCGAGGUUAAGUAUAACGGAGCCGAAGGGAAACCAAGUCUUAAUAGGGCGAUUUAGUCGUUUGGCGUAGACGCGAAACCUGGUGAUCUAAACCUGUCCAGGAUGAAGCUGUGGUAAGACACAGUGGAGGUCCUAACCCACCGCCGUUGAAAAGUUGGGGGAUGAGGUAGGUUUAGGGGUGAAAAGCCAAUCGAACCAGGAGAUAGCUCGUUCUCUCCGAAAUGCAUCUAGGUGCAGCCUUGAGUGUUCAAUUAUGGGGGUAGAGCACUGAAUGAUCUAGGGGGCAUAUUGCUUACUGAAAUCAAUCAAACUCCGAAUACCAUAAUUUAUAGCUCAGGAGUGAGACUAUGGGAGUUAACUUCCAUUGUCAAAAGGGAAACAACCCAGACCACCAGCUAAGGUCCCUAAUUAUAACUAAGUGGGAAAGGAGGUGGAGAUUCACAAACAACUAGGAGGUUGGCUUAGAAGCAGCCAUACCUUUAAAGAGUGCGUAAUAGCUCACUAGUCGAGAGUCUCUGCGCCGACAAUGUAACGGGGCUAAGUUAUAAACCGAAGCUGUGGAAUCCUUAUGGAUUGGUAGGAGAGCGUUCUGUAGGCCGUUGAAGAAGAAGGGUAACCAACUUUGGAGGUAUCAGAAGUGAGAAUGCAGGAAUAAGUAGCGAGAAAGGGGGCGAGAAUCCCCCUCGCCGGAAGACCAAGGUUUUCAGGGUAAAGCUUGUCUUCCCUGAGUAAGCCGGGACCUAAGCCCAGGCUAUAAUGCGUAGGCGAAUGGAAAACAGAUUAAUAUUUCUGUGCCAGUCAUGUAUUGUGAUGGAGGGACGCAGAAGGGUAUGCGCGCGGACGAACGGAAGUGUCCGUAGAAGUAUGUAGGGUGACUUAGUAGGAAAAUCCAUUAAGUUAGAUCUGAGGUAUGAUAUACAGUCGUAAGAUGAAUGCGCAAAUCCCACGCUGCCAAGAAAAGCUUCUAACGUUAAUAUAUGACUGCCCGUACUGUAAACCGACACAGGUGGUCAGGAUGAGAAAUCUAAGGCGGACAGGCUAACUCUCGUUAAGGAACUCUGCAAAAUAACCUCGUAACUUCGGGAGAAGAGGAGCCCUUGGGUGUUAGUAUCCACGCGAUACAAAGCGCUCGAGGGUCGCAGUGAAGAGGCUCAAGCAACUGUUUAACAAAAACACAGGUCUAUGCUAAGCUGUAAGGCGAUGUAUAUGGGCUGACACCUGCCCAGUGCUGGAAGGUUAAGAGGAGGAGUGAGAGCUCCGAAUUGAAGCCCCAGUGAACGGCGGCCGUAACUAUAACGGUCCUAAGGUAGCGAAAUUCCUUGUCAGGUAAG
RNAcentral lists this ribosomal RNA (1979 nucleotides) under human gut metagenome. RNAcentral's name for it is "bacterial LSU rRNA". It matches the Rfam family "Bacterial large subunit ribosomal RNA", at positions 1 to 1980 of the family's 2925-position model. The record is from RNAcentral.